Non-coding RNA from Triticum aestivum (bread wheat), 125 nucleotides. NCBI's taxonomy places the organism in Eukaryota, Viridiplantae, Streptophyta, Magnoliopsida, Poales, Poaceae. The record is from Rfam.
AAAGUACUCCCUCCGUCCCAAAAUUCUUGUCUUAGAUUUUUCUAGAUACGGACGUAUCAAGACAUUAGAUACAUCCGUAUCUAGACAAAUCUAAGACAAGAAUUUUGGGACAGAGGGAGUAGUUG